UACGGAGGGUGCAAGCGUUAUCCGGAUUCACUGGGUUUAAAGGGUGCGUAGGUGGGCAGGUAAGUCAGUGGUGAAAUCUCCGGGCUUAACCCGGAAACUGCCGUUGAUACUAUCUGUCUUGAAUAUCGUGGAGGUGAGCGGAAUAUGUCAUGUAGCGGUGAAAUGCUUAGAUAUGACAUAGAACACCAAUUGCGAAGGCAGCUCGCUACACGGUUAUUGACACUGAGGCACGAAAGCGUGGGGAGCAAAACGG
RNAcentral lists this ribosomal RNA (253 nucleotides) under uncultured bacterium. RNAcentral describes it as "partial 16S ribosomal RNA". It matches the Rfam family "Bacterial small subunit ribosomal RNA", at positions 524 to 776 of the family's 1533-position model. The record is from RNAcentral.